RNAcentral lists this long non-coding RNA (439 nucleotides) under Monodelphis domestica (gray short-tailed opossum). RNAcentral's name for it is "lncRNA (ENSMODG00000028075.2)". The record is from RNAcentral. Lineage: Eukaryota; Metazoa; Chordata; Mammalia; Didelphimorphia; Didelphidae.
AUUCUCAUUCAUAAGGCAAGCUAAUCUUCCUAUCAUUUUUCUUCCUUCCUUCCUUCCUUCCUUCCUUCCUUCCUUCCUUCCUUCCUUCCUUCCUUCCUUCCUUCCUUCCUUCCUUUCCUUCCUUCCUCCCUUCUCCCUCUCUCUCUCUCUUUCUCUUUCUUUCUUUCUUUCUUUCUUUCUUUCUUUCUUUCUUUCUUUCUUUCUUUCUUUCUUUCUUUCUUUCUUUCUUUCUUUCUUUCUUUCUUUCUUUCUUUCUUUCUUUCUUUCUUUCUUUCUUUCUUUCUUUCUUUCUUUCUUUCUUUCUUUCUUUCUUUCUUUCUUUCUUUCUUUCUUUCUUUCUUUCUUUCUUUCUUUCUUUCUUUCCUUUCUCCCUUACCUUCAUUUUAUAAUCAAUACUGUGCAUUAGUUCCAAGGGUAAUAAGGGCUAGGCAAUGAGGGU